Molecule: RNA transcript, 1261 nt
Organism: Gordionus sp. m RMFG-2023
Lineage: Eukaryota; Metazoa; Nematomorpha; Gordioida; Chordodea; Parachordodidae
Gene name: E3 ubiquitin ligase RNF121-like
Exons: 10
Source: RefSeq, a predicted model, not a curated record
CGCUUUAAAGAUCGGUUUAAAAAACUGUGAUCUCAAAAAUGAAGAUAUUAAAUGCACCAAAAAAUGUCAAUAUUAGUAUUUUUGAUAAUAUUUCCCUUUAUCAAAAUGGUUCAAAUCCGAUUAGUGCACAAGACAAACAUUUAAAAUGGCACAUAGAACAUCAAGGUCACGAAACAAUGCAUGCCGAAAUGGUUCUUAUAAUAAUAGUUACCAUGAUAUUGGCUCAAAUAGCACUUUUUUAUUGGAGGCAUUUUUAUUUUAAAUCUUAUCAGAUGGCCACCACUCUGGGGAUGUGGGUCAUACCACUCGUCAUAUCUGUCUAUAGAUUAUACCUUAGAUACGUAACGGUCCAUCUUAUUUACAGUAUCGUUACCCUGUACAUGAUCUUCAAAUCAAGACAAAAGCCUAUGGACAGAAACAUUCCAAGAUUGGUUUACACUUGGUUUUAUAUCGUUUUCAAAAUAUCUUACGGCCUGGGGAUCAUAGGAUAUUCCGGGCUUUUAGUGUGGUUCUUUGGAUUGAACAUAAUCCUGAUGUUGCCCAUUACUUGGAUAUAUUACUUCGUGUUGGCCUUGUAUUAUGGCACCUAUUUCGGCGUUUUAAACAGGGACAUAGCUGAGAUCUGUAGUGAUAAGAUAUUUGUCGGUUCCUUAUUGAAUAUCCAAAAUCGAAAAACAGAUGAUGCCCAAGGCAACGACAAAAAUACAUGCUUUAUAUGCGGUCAAAAAAUUUUCCAACUUAUAAUAAACGACGAUCGACAAGCCAUAGAAAAAAGUUUUAGAUUGGAAUGUGGCCAUGUAUUCCACGAAUUUUGUAUCAGGGGUUGGUGCAUAGUGGGGAAAAAGCAAACUUGUCCCCAUUGCAAAGAGAAAGUUGACCUGAAAACGCUCUUCCCAAAUCCGUGGGAAAGACUACACGUAAUGUACAGCAAAAUGCUGGAUUGGGUCAGAUACUUGAUAGCAUGGCAACCACUUAUCACCCUGCUCAUAGAAGCCAUUAAUCAUCUCUUGCAUCUUAAAUAACUCUAACCUUACUACUCCGUUCAACUUAUUUAUAUUUUAUAGAGAAAACUGUAGCCCAGAAAAAGGAAUUUUUAUCUGAUCUAGAAAACAAAUUAAUGCUUGAAGAAUCAACUUCCAAAAAUGGUGAAAAUAUAUCUAUGAUCCAAAGUCUAACAAAUAUCUUUAAAUAAAUCCAGAUUAUAUUUUUAUAAAUUUUUGUAAGAUAUUUUAUGUAUAAAUAUAUUUAUUUCUCUAUGUAA